Taeniopygia guttata (zebra finch) is the source of this 1599-nucleotide non-coding RNA. Lineage: Eukaryota; Metazoa; Chordata; Aves; Passeriformes; Estrildidae. The record is from RefSeq and is a predicted model, not a curated record.
CCUAGGGUUAAGAAGGACCUGCCACUUGCCAGAGCAGGGUGAGGAUGCAGCAGCUGUUGCUGUUUAUGCCCUAGGAUUGUGCAGGCUCCCUCCAGAGAAGUGGUGUCAUGUCACUGAGGUAUCAGGAUCCGAACUCAUUUCUGUCAUGGUUUAACACUCUAAAUGUGUGAACAUCAAUGAUGCAUAAGAUGCCAUAACCCAGCUCUACCAUCUGUCUGCUGGCUGGGGAGGGGAGCAUUAGGAUGUUUCACCAGCAAAUGCCACAGUGUUUUGCUUCAACAUCAAAACCAGUAAAUCUGAUCCUUUCUAUAAACACAGCUGAGGAACCACUAAAAUAGCCAAUGUGGGCUCAGGAUGAGUUGGCAUUUUGCUACCACACACAUUUGUUUUGCAUCUUCAGAACUUUACCACAGCAAUUCCACUACAUUUCCUGCAACCUUGUUCCAGGAUCUGCCAUUCCCAUGCUCAGAAAUCUGCAUCCUGAACUAUACACAGAAAAUAGCUAGUCCGAAUAGAGUCUUAAAUAUGAGCCUGACUUUGAUAAACACUUGGUACUGCCAGAUCCUCCAAGGAUUAAAACAGGGAGUUUGAAUCUGCAAUUCAGAACUUUGUGUGGCCCCAGGGGCAGCUCAGAAAAGCUCCAUGAAAGCAGCAGGGAACUCAGGCCCAGACUGCAGCUGCAGAGCAGCUCCCUCACACAGAACCUCUAAAGGCUUUUGCCCCUGCCUUCAGAAUCCCCAAAGUGCAAGGGAAGAGACCACUGAAACAACAGAAUCUGCAAAAGGAAAUUAGAAAUGAGAAAAAAGCCAAGCUUCACCUGCUGAAGAUAAAAAAUAUUGGACCUUCUUGCCAAGAAUUCUGGCAAACCCAGCACCUCUCCAAGCCCUUCCAGUGAAGCAGGAUGACUUCCUGAGGGUGUGUGCACAGUAAGAAGUGCAGCAUUUUCCUUCCAACUCUGAGCAAAAUCCCCUGCAGCUCUGCUGAGAGAUGCCAGCUCCAGUCCUGGGUGCCAAGUGGACAUGUCAGUGCAGGAUUGCACGGGCAGAAUCCAACAGAAUUGAUCUGUGUGGCACACCAGGGCAUUUACACAGUUCUACUACUUCCACAUCCACAACCGAGCAUGUGAUGCUUGUCUAACCACACAGCUAAAAAUAUCCAAAAAUAGCUUGUUUUGCAUGAAUGCAAGUCUCCAUUCUGAAAUAAACAAAUGUUCAGAAGAGUCCAUCAUGAUGGCUCAUAUCUCAAAGUACACCUCUCACCCCUCUGCCAGUGGGGCCAGUGGAGCAUUUAUCCAUUUUCUAUAUUCUUCCACUGUCCUCUGCCUCUUUUGAUUUAUGUGCCAAAUUUUCCCAUUUCCCAAUUACUCACCCCUGUCGAUUUCUCUCGAGGUUCUGAAGGUCAGGGUGACUCCAAGAGAUCAAAAAGUGUCUUUGCUUCCCUUAGCCUGAGCAUCCAAAGAAGGAGCCUGGAGUGCUUCUGAUUGCGUUUUCAAGGUCGUUUAUUUCUUCUUAUCUAAACUCUCUUUCUCUCUGACCUGCCAAGCUCUGGCUAGCAAGGAGACCAUAACAUUUCUGGCCUGAGCCCUGGGCAGCUCCCACA